UACGGAGGGUGCAAGCGUUGCUCGGAAUUAUUGGGCGUAAAGGGUAGGUAGGUGGUCUCAUUUGUCUGGGGUGAAAGCCUUGAGCUUAACUCAAGAAGUGCCCCGGAAACGGUGAGACUAGAGUCCUGGAGAGGGUCGUGGAAUUCCCGGUGUAGCGGUGAAAUGCGUAGAGAUCGGGAGGAACACCAGAGGCGAAAGCGGCGACCUGGACAGGCACUGACACUCAACUACGAAAGCGUGGGGAGCAAACAGG
RNAcentral lists this ribosomal RNA (253 nucleotides) under uncultured bacterium. RNAcentral's name for it is "partial 16S ribosomal RNA". It matches the Rfam family "Bacterial small subunit ribosomal RNA", at positions 524 to 776 of the family's 1533-position model. The record is from RNAcentral.